Long non-coding RNA from Cyprinus carpio carpio, 883 nucleotides. NCBI's taxonomy places the organism in Eukaryota, Metazoa, Chordata, Actinopteri, Cypriniformes, Cyprinidae. The record is from Ensembl.
UGUGUGUGUGUGUGUGUGUGUGUGUGUGUGUGUGUGUGUGUGUGUGUGUGUGUGUGUGUGUGUGUUUGUGCACUUGACUUUAGGAAGAGCUGAGGAGCAGGCAUCUGUGUUCACUGUUAUCUACACUGGAAGAACUUGAGAUUGACAGUGGAUGCUCUGAAAUACACAUCACCUCAGAAUGACUGCUAAACACAGACCAGCUCAAGACUGAUCUUCAGAAAUGAUCAAAUCAAUAACAAGUCUGAAGUCAGAGAGUUAGUCUGGGCCCCUUUCAAGUGUCUGUUUUUCUUCUGCUGGGGUGUGAGAGGCUCUUGUUUUAUGUCAUGUCUUGUGCCGAAGUCUGUGGGACUCCAAAGGGACUCUCACCUGUGUGAGGAGAAGCUGUGAACCCAUCAAACCGACAGGGAGCUUUGUGAAGACAGGCAUGAAGCAGACUGCACCCACAGCACACGUCACGGCCCGUUAGGAGAAGCCGAACGCACUAAAGAGGUUAAACUGCAGCGCCUGGCAGAGGCAAUUUUAUUGAUAACCAUUUGAAGCCUUUUUUUCCCGCCCGUCUCCGAGCCUUACGUGCCAUCACGCUUUUCUGUCUUUAUUCCGUUUGCCACUCUCAACUGACUUCAAAUGUGGGAAGCCUCUCCCUCCGACAGAAAAGAAGCUGCAGUUGCCUCUUUCCCGCUGUCUCAGCCGUGAAGAUCUGCAUUCUGAUCUGGCAGACAGUCGUCGGCAAAUUCCCACAUCUCUCUGAUCUGCUCAGGCGCUCCAUCAUUUCCUCGUCAGCCCCUGGUCCCUGCCCUGGCCUGAAGUCAUCGCUCAGUUAGGCAGCUGGCAGGCCGGCCCUGAGGGUCCCCAGUGGGGAGUGAGGAGUCAAGGGUUGGUCACU